Molecule: ribosomal RNA, 253 nt
Filed under: uncultured bacterium
Lineage: Bacteria
Description: partial 16S ribosomal RNA
Rfam family: Bacterial small subunit ribosomal RNA
Source: RNAcentral
UACGAACCGUCCAAACGUUAUUCGGAAUCACUGGGCUUAAAGGGUUUGUAGGCGGCCUUGUAAGUGGGGUGUGAAAUCCCUCGGCUCAACCGAGGAAUAGCGCUCCAAACUGCAAGGCUUGAGGGAGACAGGGGUAAGCGGAACUGAUGGUGGAGCGGUGAAAUGCGUUGAUAUCAUCAGGAACACCGGUGGCGAAAGCGGCUUACUGGGUCUCUUCUGACGCUGAGAAACGAAAGCUAGGGUAGCGAACGGG